Molecule: ribosomal RNA, 467 nt
Filed under: uncultured bacterium
Lineage: Bacteria
Description: partial 16S ribosomal RNA
Rfam family: Bacterial small subunit ribosomal RNA
Source: RNAcentral
GACGAACGCUGGCGGCGUGCUUAACACAUGCAAGUCGAACGGACAGGCCCUGCGCUUGUGGGUGUUCGAGUGGCGAACGGGGGAGUAAUACCAGAGUGAUCUGCCCUCUAUUUUGGGAUAACUUCUGGAAACUGGGGCUACUACUGGAUAGGAACACCUUCUGCCUGGUGGGGGUUGGAAAGAUUAGGCGGUUGGGGUUGGUCUUGCAGGUUAUCAGCCUGCUGGAGGGGUAGUGGCUUACCACGGCUUUGACGGGUAGCCGGCCUGAGAGGGUAGCCGGGCACAAGGGGACUACGAGAGGGACCAGACUCGUACGGGAGGCAGCAGGCGAGAGUAUUGCAGAAUGGGGGGGAGCCUGAGGCAGCAACGCCGGGUGCGUGAUGACGGCCUUCGGGGGGUAAACCGCUUUCGCCGGUGACGAAGCGUGAGUGACGGUAAUGGGUAAAGAAGCACCGGCUAACUACGUG